GAUCAACAUUUUUUUCCAGGCAUUCAUUUUAUUAUUAUUUAAGCACAAAACAGCCAUUUUAAAAGUGACAAAGUACACAUUGAAAAAGUACAUUUCUAUCACCAAGUUUCUAUCACCAAGUACUGCUGCAAUUAUAUUUUGCGAGAACGUGUACAUCUCCACCAGUUAUUAAAAACAAACUGGUUUUAAUAUAUUCACAAAAAUAUAGUUUCCUCUAAGUUAGUACUGAUGGCUUUGUUAAUUUGUUCAAAGCCCUUUUAAACCAAAAUAAUAAUGUAAGGUUUUCUGCA
This is a non-coding RNA of Pelobates cultripes (western spadefoot toad), 290 nucleotides long. Lineage: Eukaryota; Metazoa; Chordata; Amphibia; Anura; Pelobatidae. The record is from the annotation of a GenBank genome assembly.